GAUGAACGCUGGCGGCGUGCCUAAUACAUGCAAGUCGAGCGAACAGACGAGGAGCUUGCUCCUCUGACGUUAGCGGCGGACGGGUGAGUAACACGUGGAUAACCUACCCAUAAGGCUGGGAUAACUUCGGGAAACCGGAGCUAAUACCGGAUAAUAUAUUGAACCGCAUGGUUCAAUAGUGAAAGACGGUUUUGCUGUCACUUAUAGAUGGAUCCGCGCCGCAUUAGCUAGUUGGUAAGGUAACGGCUUACCAAGGCGACGAUGCGUAGCCGACCUGAGAGGGUGAUCGGCCACACUGGAACUGAGACACGGUCCAGACUCCUACGGGAGGCAGCAGUAGGGAAUCUUCCGCAAUGGGCGAAAGCCUGACGGAGCAACGCCGCGUGAGUGAUGAAGGUCUUCGGAUCGUAAAACUCUGUUAUUAGGGAAGAACAAAUGUGUAAGUAACUAUGCACGUCUUGACGGUACCUAAUCAGAAAGCCACGGCUAACUACGUG
Molecule: ribosomal RNA, 497 nt
Filed under: uncultured bacterium
Lineage: Bacteria
Description: partial 16S ribosomal RNA
Rfam family: Bacterial small subunit ribosomal RNA
Source: RNAcentral